RNAcentral lists this unclassified non-coding RNA (1165 nucleotides) under Hevea brasiliensis (rubber tree). Lineage: Eukaryota; Viridiplantae; Streptophyta; Magnoliopsida; Malpighiales; Euphorbiaceae. The record is from RNAcentral.
CGCCCAUUUCUAGAGACUUUGUUUGAUUUUGGUUUUCUUGUUGGCUAACAACAAAUAUGGAAUUGGAUCUGGAUCGUGGGCAAGUCACACUGAUAGCAUCCAGUAUAUGUCUUAUGCUGACUUUACAUUUCAGCAUACAGCUAGUGACAGAACAUUUUACGUCAUGGAAGAAGCCUAAAGAGCAAAAGGCCAUAAUUAUUAUCGUCCUCAUGGCACCUUUGUAUGCUAUUGUCUCCUUCAUUGGGUUGGUCGAUUUCAUGGGAAGCAAACCCUUUUUCACUUUCUUGGAAUCUGUCAAAGAAUGUUAUGAAGCAAUUGUGAUGGCUAAGUUCCUGGGGUUGAUGUACACUUACUUGAAUAUAUCCAUAAGCAAAAACAUAGUCCCUGAUGAAAUUAAGGGAAGACAGAUUCACCACUCAUUCCCAAUGACACUCUUCCAGCCUCACACUGCUCAUUUGAACCAUCAUACAUUGAAGCUUCUCAAGAACUGGACAUGGCAGUUUGUUGUGAUUCGCCCUGUAUGCUCUAUUUUAAUGAUUGUUUUACAAAUGUUUGGAGUGUACCCUAGUUGGGUUAGCUGGACCUUUACCAUCAUUUUAAACAUAUCCGUUUCACUGGCAUUGUACUCUCUUGUGGUUUUCUACCACGUGUUUGCGAAGGAGUUGGCGCCUCACAAGCCACUAGCCAAGUUCCUGUGUGUCAAAGGAAUUGUCUUUUUCGUCUUCUGGCAGGGCAUUCUGCUUAGUGUUCUGGUAUCACUAGGCAUAAUAAAAUCUCACUAUUUCUGGCUUGAGGUGGAGCGCCUUCAGGAAGGUAUGCAGAAUGAACUAGUGAUCCUGGAGAUGGUUUUCUUCGCUAUCCUUAUGCGUCAUGCAUACAGUGCAGCGCCAUAUCGCGCAGAAGCUGUUACAACUACUUCAGAAGAUGCUACUUCUGGAGAUAAAAAGAAUGAGUGAUUAUGCAACAUGUAUUGUUGUAAAAAAAUUAUCUUCAGACAUCACUCACUUCCUCAUAUUGCUUGUAUGUUAUGUUGGAUUUGCUUGUUGAUGUUAUAAUAGAUUCCUACUACAGAUCAACUAGAACAUUUUGUGAGUGUUAAUUAGCACUGAAUCCCUUUCAUUCUGAGGCAAUGAAUACUUCAUUUGAAAUAAAACAGAGAAGCAUA